Molecule: ribosomal RNA, 778 nt
Filed under: uncultured Neocallimastigales
Lineage: Eukaryota; Fungi; Neocallimastigomycota; Neocallimastigomycetes; Neocallimastigales
Description: partial large subunit ribosomal RNA
Rfam family: Eukaryotic large subunit ribosomal RNA
Source: RNAcentral
UACACGCAUGACACACUGCAUAUCAAUAAGCGGAGGAAAAGAAACUAACAAGGAUUCCCUUAGUAACGGCGAGUGAAGCGGGAAGAGCUCAAAUUUGAAAUCUUCAAGGUUCUACCUUGACGAAUUGUAGUUUAUAGAAGUGUUUUCUGUUAGUGGAGCUGGCAAAAGUUCUUUGGAAUAGGACAUCAUAGAGGGUGAGAAUCCCGUAUUUGGUCAUUCCUCCUAGCGUUGUGAUACACUUUCAACGAGUCGGAUUGUUUGGGAAUGCAGUCCAAAAUGGGUGGUAAAUUUCAUCUAAAGCUAAAUAUUGGCGAGAGACCGAUAGCGAACAAGUACCGUGAGGGAAAGAUGAAAAGAACUUUGAAAAGAGAGUUAAACAGUACGUGAAAUUGUCAAAAGGGAAGCGUUUGACACCAGUGUUGUUUAGUUCCGAAAAUCAAUUCACUAAUUUUUGAUUUUGAGUAGUUAUGACUUCAUCAGCUUGCUCCUUCCUUUAUGAAACUUUCUUAAUGCACUUUUCGGUUAACAAGUCAACAUCAAUUUCUUUUGUUGUAAAAGGGUAUGAGGAAGGUGGCUUUCUUUUCGGAGAAAGUGUUUAUAGCCUUGUGCCUCUGCAAUCGGAGAGAUUGAGGUCUGCAGCGUAGAUCCUUCGGGGUUGGAUACGUUUGUGCUAAGUUAUAGCUUUUCAUAGACAACUUGUUGACUAUGUUUAGUCUUGUAGCUUACUCGCUGACGCUAUUUUACCUACGCUUAGGAUGUUGAACUACUGAGACAUAGA